RNAcentral lists this ribosomal RNA (549 nucleotides) under uncultured bacterium. RNAcentral's name for it is "bacterial SSU rRNA". It matches the Rfam family "Bacterial small subunit ribosomal RNA", at positions 355 to 896 of the family's 1533-position model. The record is from RNAcentral.
UGGGGAAUAUUGGACAAUGGGGGAAACCCUGAUCCAGCGACGCCGCGUGUGUGAAGAAGGCCUGCGGGUUGUAAAGCACUUUUAGUGGGGACAAAAAGCUACGGAUUAAUACUCUGUGGUCUUGAUUUAACCCAAAGAAAAAGCACCGGCUAACUCUGUGCCAGCAGCCGCGGUAAUACAGAGGGUGCGAGCGUUAAUCGGAAUUACUGGGCGUAAAGCGCGCGUAGACGGUUUUGUAAGUCAGAUGUGAAAUCCCUGGGCUCAACCUGGGAACUGCAUUUGAAACUGCAUGGCUAGAGUAUCGAAGAGGGAAGUGGAAUUUCCGGUGUAGCGGUGAAAUGCGUAGAUAUCGGAAGGAACACCAGUGGCGAAAGCGGCUUCCUGGUCCAGCACCGACGUUCAGGCACGAAAGCGUGGGGAGCAAACAGGAUUAGAUACCCUGGUAGUCCACGCCAUAAACGAUGAGAACUAGACGUUGGGGGGGUAAGCCUCUCAGUGUCGCAGCUAACGCGUUAAGUUCUCCGCCUGGGGAGUACGGCCGCAAGGUUG